RNAcentral lists this long non-coding RNA (1472 nucleotides) under Cicer arietinum (chickpea). Its description in RNAcentral is "long non-coding RNA (CARI_LNC001120)". The record is from RNAcentral. Lineage: Eukaryota; Viridiplantae; Streptophyta; Magnoliopsida; Fabales; Fabaceae.
ACAAAAAAAGAAGCUAGAAUCUAAUACCCUCUCAUUAUUAAAUACACCAAGCAAUGUUGCUAUUGUUUCUUUCUCGCUACUUUUUCUAUCCGUUGCGACUGUUUUUUUAUUUCUUCUUCUUUUGUUUAAACAUUUCUUUUCAUGUUUAUAUAUUUUUUAUUUAUCCAACUUAUUUGUAUUUCUUGACAAGAAAGUGAAUCUAGAGAUAUGAAAAAAUCAUCAAUUUCUAUCAAUCUGUUGAAUUGCGGUCAAAAUCAGUGAGACUUUUCACAUGGGAGGUUGAAUAUCCUUUCUAAAAAUUAUGUAACUAAAGUUUUGUUUUGUAUUCCAUCCUCUUUUUUUUUCUUUCUAAUUUCUAUUUCACGGUUAUUUCAAAUUUGUAAUGCAUGCGGCUUAAUCUAUUUUAUUUUAUUGCUUUACAUAUUUUGACAUGUAAUGGAGAUUUUGUGGAGUGCAAUUUCUGCAUGUACACAACCUUUCUUCCUAUAAGUUUUUGUCUAAUUGGAAUUUCAUUCUAUUUACAACAUAUUCUUUUUACAAUGUAUUUGUGGUCUAUAAUUUUUAUAAAAAAACAUACAUUUUUUUCGACAAUAUCCACGUUUGACUCUAUUUCCUCUUUUUUAUUGUUCAUGAUUGGUUAAUAACUAAAGAACAUUAUAAGCCCAACUAUUUAUUUUAGUUUGAUUAAUAGAAUUUGAUUAUUGAAACCACCUUAUUUUUUUUUGUAAAAGUUUACUUGGUAUGCAGUACGGAUGAGAAUAUGUUAGGCCGUCAUCAGAAACUUAUGACCUGACAUACUUAUUAUCUGGUCUGAUCUAUUUAAUAAUAAUGUUAGGUUUAUGCUAUUUUUAAAGUCUAUUUAUUUAAAUAGGUCAUACACAGACUUAUAAAAAAACAUAUUAGGUUUAUCAGGUCGGCCUAUAUAUAUUUUAUUAUUUAUUAACGUUAUUUUUUUAUUAUUAUAUUAAUAAUAUUAUUUCUUAUUUUAAAGUCUAUCGAUUAGACAGUCACUAACUAGUCAUUCCAUAUUUGUUAGUCGUUCUAUAUUCGAUAGACGUUCAAUUAGAUAAUCACUCUGUAGUCGUUCUAUAUUUGUUUGAGAGGUAAUAAUGGGCGCAUUUGUUUCAAGAAAAAAUCUAUUAUUUGAAACAAAAAAUCAUUUUUUAGGGUUUAAAUGAUGUUUGUUUUAGAUUUUUUUAAAAUUAUUUUGUUAAAAAAAUUAAUUUUUGUUUAAUAUAUAUAGAUAUGUACAUUGAUAUUGAUAUGUGGAAAGUAUCAUGUGGUAUGAGUAGAGCAUCAUGUAAAUUGGUAUGAAUAGAAUUGUAGUUUGAUAUGUGUAUAGAGACUAAUUAUGGAUUUAUUUUGUUUUUCUUUUUUUCUUGAAAGGUUGUUGUCGUGUUGUUAGUUAUUAUUUUAUUGGAUUUGAUAAUAAUUUUAUUCGUUUCUCUUUUAUAUAAAGGCAUAGUUUAGCC